GGUUAUGGCUCAGUGGUAGAGCACUUGCCUAGCACAUGUGAGGCACUGGGUUCGAUCCCCAGCACCA
RNAcentral lists this transfer RNA (67 nucleotides) under Marmota monax (woodchuck). RNAcentral's name for it is "tRNA.Ala". Lineage: Eukaryota; Metazoa; Chordata; Mammalia; Rodentia; Sciuridae. The record is from RNAcentral.